RNAcentral lists this long non-coding RNA (307 nucleotides) under Physcomitrium patens. RNAcentral's name for it is "long non-coding RNA (PPAT_LNC006695)". Lineage: Eukaryota; Viridiplantae; Streptophyta; Bryopsida; Funariales; Funariaceae. The record is from RNAcentral.
UUGGAUAGGGUUUCUAUAGGCAUUGAUUUUGGAUGAUUUAGAGUUGUUAUGACUUUGUAAAAGCUUUGCAAAGUCACAGUGUGUUUUGGAUGAUUUGUAUUUUAUGAAAUAAAAUAGGAUUUAUGUUUUGAGUGAUUUCAAGAGUUUUGUAAUAGAUCUAUAGGUGAAAUUUUGUGAGUUUAUGGUUAUAGUUGUGUUUAAUAUGUGUUGUGAAUUUGAGCUCGAUCUAAUGGUUGAAUUGAGGGAUAUUGAGGUUUAAGUGGAUCAAGGUCUCAAAAAGUAGAAUUUUAGAUCUAGUGAGGGUUUU